CUGACAGGCCUAGAGUCUUGCCCUUAUCCACAGAAUAAGCACAGCACAGGUAGCAGCAGCACAAUCUUCCCCACACAGCUCUGUGCCAACAUGCCUCGGCCCUGAGAUGGAGGGACCAUCCCCUCUCCAGAUGACCCAGCGGCUUCCAACUGCGACUGCUUCCAGCGACGGCUGUA
This 176-nucleotide small RNA is filed under the name Chrysemys picta bellii (western painted turtle). RNAcentral describes it as "TUC338 (ENSCPBG00000019503.1)". Lineage: Eukaryota; Metazoa; Chordata; Testudines; Emydidae. The record is from RNAcentral.